GAUGAACGCUGGCGGCGUGCCUAAUACAUGCAAGUCGAGCGAACAGACGGGGAGCUUGCUCCUCUGACGUUAUCGGCGGACGGGUGAGUAACACGUGGAUAACCUACCUAUAAGACUGGGAUAACUUCGGGAAACCGGAGCUAAUACCGGAUAACAUGUUGAACCACAUGGUUCAACAGUGAAAGACGGUCUUGCUUUCACUUAUAGAUGGAUCCGCGCCGCAUUAGCUAGUUGGUAAGGUAACGGCUUACCAAGGCAACGAUGCGUAGCCGACCUGAGAGCGUCAUACGACAGCCUGGAACUGAGACAGGGUCGAGACACCGACGGGGGGACGCAGUAGGGACUCUUCCGCAAGGGGCGAAAGCCGGACGGUGCAACACCGCGUGAGUGAAGAAGGUCUUAGGACGGGAAAGCGCUGUUAUUAGGGAAGAACAAAUGCGUAAGUAACUAUGAACGUCAUGACGGUACCUAAACAGAAAGCCACGGCUAACUACGUG
Molecule: ribosomal RNA, 497 nt
Filed under: uncultured bacterium
Lineage: Bacteria
Description: partial 16S ribosomal RNA
Rfam family: Bacterial small subunit ribosomal RNA
Source: RNAcentral